UACGUAGGGCGCAAGCGUUAUCCGGAAUUAUUGGGCGUAAAGAGCUCGUAGGCGGUUUGUCGCGUCUGCUGUGAAAGCCCGGGGCUCAACCUCGGGCCUGCAGUGGGUACGGGCAGACUAGAGUGCGGUAGGGGAGAAUGGAAUUCCUGGUGUAGCGGUGGAAUGCGCAGAUAUCAGGAGGGACACCGAUGGCGAAGGCAGUUCUCUGGGCCGUUACUGACGCUGAGGAGCGAAAGCGUGGGGAGCGAACAGG
Molecule: ribosomal RNA, 253 nt
Filed under: uncultured bacterium
Lineage: Bacteria
Description: partial 16S ribosomal RNA
Rfam family: Bacterial small subunit ribosomal RNA
Source: RNAcentral